RNAcentral lists this ribosomal RNA (253 nucleotides) under uncultured bacterium. RNAcentral describes it as "partial 16S ribosomal RNA". It matches the Rfam family "Bacterial small subunit ribosomal RNA", at positions 524 to 776 of the family's 1533-position model. The record is from RNAcentral.
UACGUACUGGGCGAACGUUAUUCGGAAUCACUGGGCUUAAAGGGUGCGUAGGUGGAACGUUAAGUCCGGUCUGAAAGCCCCCGGCUCAACCGGGGAGGGUGGCUGGAAACUGGCGUUCUUGAGGGCGAGAGAGGAGGGUGGAAUUCCUGGUGUAGCGGUGAAAUGCGUAGAGAUCAGGAGGAACACCCGUGGCGAAGGCGGCCCUCUGGCUCGACCCUGACGCUGAGGCGCGAAAGCGUGGGGAGCGAACGGG